AGAAUAGGCGACAUGCACUGAACAAGGUAAAAAAGACAGAAAAUUAUCUGGAGAGGUGGCCGGAGGACACAUCAAGAAGCGCCUUGUACAUUGUUACUGCUGGAGCAGUAGCACGAUGAAGGAGUAUGUCAAGGAAGAGGAUGACAUGUCCCACCAACAGUGGCUCCGACUCAAGAAAGAAGGGACGGGAAUCGCAGGAUGUAGGUGACGGGGAUUCCAGGGUGCCAACCGUGCAGCGGCCUCAGAGAGCAACCUGAGCAGAUCGAAGCAAGUCUCCAGAAAACAUAGCUCCAAAAAGAUGAAAUUGAUAUAUUUGAACAUAUGGGAAGAACAUCCACACUUCUGAAGAGGACUGGGGUCAAAUUGCUGAUAACUGCUUACAUAGCUAAGCAAAUUUUUAAAAAAGAAUAUUAACUUU
This 418-nucleotide long non-coding RNA is filed under the name Homo sapiens (human). RNAcentral's name for it is "HSALNT0367891". Lineage: Eukaryota; Metazoa; Chordata; Mammalia; Primates; Hominidae. The record is from RNAcentral.